UACGUAGGUGGCAAGCGUUGUCCGGAUUUAUUGGGUUUAAAGGGUGCGUAGGCGGUUCUAUAAGUCAGUGGUGAAAUACGGCAGCUCAACUGUCGAGGUGCCAUUGAUACUGUAGAACUUGAGUACAGACGAGGUAGGCGGAAUUGACGGUGUAGCGGUGAAAUGCUUAGAUAUCGUCAAGAACACCGAUAGCGAAGGCAGCUUACUAGGCUGUAACUGACGCCGAGGCACGAAAGUGUGGGGAUCAAACAGG
Molecule: ribosomal RNA, 253 nt
Filed under: uncultured bacterium
Lineage: Bacteria
Description: partial 16S ribosomal RNA
Rfam family: Bacterial small subunit ribosomal RNA
Source: RNAcentral